This 467-nucleotide ribosomal RNA is filed under the name uncultured bacterium. RNAcentral describes it as "partial 16S ribosomal RNA". It matches the Rfam family "Bacterial small subunit ribosomal RNA", at positions 28 to 506 of the family's 1533-position model. The record is from RNAcentral.
GACGAACGCUGGCGGCGUGCUUAACACAUGCAAGUCGAACGGAAAGGCCCUGCUUUUGUGGGGUGCUCGAGUGGCGAACGGGUGAGUAACACGUGAGUAACCUGCCCUUGACUUUGGGAUAACUUCAGGAAACUGGGGCUAAUACCGGAUAGGAGCUCCUGCUGCAUGGUGGGGGUUGGAAAGUUUCGGCGGUUGGGGAUGGACUCGCGGCUUAUCAGCUUGUUGGUGGGGUAGUGGCUUACCAAGGCUUUGACGGGUAGCCGGCCUGGGAGGGUGACCGGCCACAUUGGGACUGGGAUACGGCCCAGACCCCUACGGGGGGCAGGAGGGGGGAAUAUUGCACAAGGGGCGGAAGCCUGAUGCAGAAACCCCGGGUGGGGGAUGACGGCCUUGGGGUUGUAAACCGCUUUCGCCUGUGACGAAGCGUGGGUGACGGUAAUGGGUAAAGAAGCCCCGGCUAACUACGU